This 254-nucleotide ribosomal RNA is filed under the name uncultured bacterium. RNAcentral's name for it is "partial 16S ribosomal RNA". It matches the Rfam family "Bacterial small subunit ribosomal RNA", at positions 524 to 776 of the family's 1533-position model. The record is from RNAcentral.
UACGUAGGCAGCAAGCGUUUGUUCGGAAUUACUGGGCGUAAAGAGUGUGUAGGCGGUGUUCUAAGUUUGUCGUGAAAUCUCCCGGCUUAACUGGGAGGGUGCGGCGAAAACUGGAAUGCUAGAGGAUGGGAGAGGUAAGCGGAAUUCCUGGUGUAGCGGUGAAAUGCGUAGAUAUCAGGAGGAACACCUGUGGUGUAGACAGCUUACUGGACCAUUUCUGACGCUGAGACACGAAAGCGUGGGUAGCAAACAGG